Molecule: ribosomal RNA, 520 nt
Filed under: uncultured bacterium
Lineage: Bacteria
Description: bacterial SSU rRNA
Rfam family: Bacterial small subunit ribosomal RNA
Source: RNAcentral
AGAGUUUGAUUAUGGCUCAGGAUGAACGCUAGCUACAGGCUUAACACAUGCAAGUCGAGGGGCAGCAUUGGAGUAGCAAUACUUCAGAUGGCGACCGGCGCACGGGUGAGUAACACGUAUCCAACCUGCCGCUUACUCGGGGAUAGCCUUUCGAAAGAAAGAUUAAUACCCGAUGGUAUAAAGAGUUCGCAUGUUCUCUUUAUUAAAGAAUUUCGGUAAGCGAUGGGGAUGCGUUCCAUUAGAUAGUUGGCGGGGUAACGGCCCACCAAGUCUACGAUGGAUAGGGGUUCUGAGAGGAAGGUCCCCCACAUUGGAACUGAGACACGGUCCAAACUCCUACGGGAGGCAGCAGUGAGGAAUAUUGGUCAAUGGACGAGAGUCUGAACCAGCCAAAAGUAGCGUGAAGGAUGACUGCCCUAUGGGUUGUAAACUUCUUUUAUAAGGGAAUAAAGUGAGGGACGUGUCCCUUUUUGUAUGUACCUUAUGAAUAAGGAUCGGCUAACUCCGUGCCAGCCGCCGC